GUGUCAUAUGCCAUUAACAUUGCAUAGUCCCAUUAUGUCUUUAUCUACUUCAUUAAUACCUAAAAUUAUGCUAAUCACAUUGGUUAGCUCAAUUACAUAGAAGUAGAGUAAAAAAUAAGAAACUAGACACUUUGUUCUCUAAACUUAGCUAAAUAUGGAUAGGUUAUGGUGCUUAGGCAUAUAAAUACACCCAAGAUCACCAUC
RNAcentral lists this long non-coding RNA (204 nucleotides) under Capsicum annuum. RNAcentral describes it as "long non-coding RNA (CANN_LNC022195)". The record is from RNAcentral. Lineage: Eukaryota; Viridiplantae; Streptophyta; Magnoliopsida; Solanales; Solanaceae.